This 87-nucleotide transfer RNA is filed under the name Burkholderia sp. Bp9125. Its description in RNAcentral is "tRNA-Leu". It matches the Rfam family "tRNA". From Rfam's summary of the family: Transfer RNA (tRNA) molecules are approximately 80 nucleotides in length. Their secondary structure includes four short double-helical elements and three loops (D, anti-codon, and T loops). Further hydrogen bonds mediate the characteristic L-shaped molecular structure. tRNAs have two regions of fundamental functional importance: the anti-codon, which is responsible for specific mRNA codon recognition, and the 3' end, to which the tRNAs corresponding amino acid is attached (by aminoacyl-tRNA synthetases). tRNAs cope with the degeneracy of the genetic code in two manners: having more than one tRNA (with a specific anti-codon) for a particular amino acid; and 'wobble' base-pairing, i.e. permitting non-standard base-pairing at the 3rd anti-codon position. Lineage: Bacteria; Pseudomonadati; Pseudomonadota; Betaproteobacteria; Burkholderiales; Burkholderiaceae. The record is from RNAcentral.
GCCGAAGUGGCGGAACUGGUAGACGCGCCUGCCUCAGGAGCAGGUGGCCGCAAGGCCAUGUGGGUUCGAGUCCCACCUUCGGUACCA